Molecule: long non-coding RNA, 4089 nt
Organism: Heterocephalus glaber (naked mole-rat)
Lineage: Eukaryota; Metazoa; Chordata; Mammalia; Rodentia; Bathyergidae
Source: RefSeq, a predicted model, not a curated record
AGCUAGGGGAGCGCGGGGCCCCGGCACCCGGACACCCCGGCCUCACGCCCGCCGCGGCGCUGCGGACCCGGCCCCGCCUGAGCCCUCGCUGGCAGCGGCGAUCGCGAUCGGAGCGCCCACCCGAGCCUUCCCCCCCACGGGCAAGGAAAGUGAAGUGGAAACAAUGUGAAAUUCACCAGCUCUGAAAUCAACAAGCUGCCGGCUCGGGAGCUACGGAGCCAACAGCGGCGUCCCCAUUUAAAGGGACAGCGCACCCGGUGGAGAGAAGAAAUAAAUACUCGAAGAGGUCUGCGCGCCCGGAUCGCUCGCCAGCGUGUGUUCCGCAGACGCGCGAGGUGCGGACGUGUUCUCUCCACACCUCCGCCGCCCCCACUGGGCUCGCCAAGCGCAUUCAAGGAUAAAAGAGUCUUCUCGGCGGCUUCUAAGGGCGUGUCCCCGCGAGGACGUCUGUCUGCGGGCGCGUUUGCAUCUCUACCCCGGGAACCCCGACACCUUUAGAUGGCGAAAGGAACCUACCUGCUUUAAGGAAUAUGAAACCGAUCUUCUCUUUUGAAGGAAAGAGAUGAAAGGAAGAAUGAAGAGAAAGACAAUUACUGAAAGAUGUUCAAGAAUGUCUGAACUUUGUUUAAAAAAUAAUGCAUACAUCCAGAGUUUUGAAGAAUGCCUGAACAGUCCACCGUCUACGGAAGUACUAAGGACAAGAUUUUUAUCCCUGUUCAGAUACUAGAAUCUCUCCUAAAAUAGAGUGAACAACCUCAGGGAUGAUCAUCAGGAGCUCAAUCCCAGAGUACGAAGACUCCAAAGUCACUUUCAGGCAGGUCCAGUCACAAGAAGAAACACCUUGCUGAGCAUCACACAUGGUCCGGAGGUGGAUGAACACUUGCCUCUCUCUGGUGCCCUUUCUAGGACUGUUCCUUCUCUUUAGUUGGUUGGCUGAGUAUUUGGUUUGCACUUUUUUUUUUUCUAAUUUGGGUUGUUAUUUUUCUUUUUCCACUUAUGAAUGUAGGGCUUUCAUUUGUCUCUUACACUACUGCUGGUUUCCAUUGCUGUAAGUAGCAUUUGCCCAGGUAAAACAUUUCCCCUUCAGGUUUAAGACAAAGCUGGUUUCUUCCAAUAAGUAUGAAGGAUGGAAGGAGGGAAUUGAGGUCCCAGGUUCUCAGCAACAAUUUCUCCUUCCGAAAGGUUCUGCUAGCUUGGCCUCAACGCUAUCUCCCCUACCCACCCCUUCCCCCAGUACUGGACUAGAACACAAGGCAUUUGCACCGAGUUACAUUCCCAGAGCUUUUUAAAUUUUAGAAUAGGCUUGCCAAGACACUAACUCUCCCAGGCUGGGCUGGAACUUGCCAUCCUCCUGUUUCAGCCUCCCAGAAUGCUGAAAUUAUAGGUGCGUGCCAUCAUGCCUGGCUAAAGCUAUCAUUUUUUAAAUGGCAGAGAAGGUCUUUGGCUGUCUAAGGAAAACACAAGCCAUUGGCAUUCUUUAAAUGUGUCUAGAGCUAUGUUCCUGAGUUGCUCCCUCAGAAUCACCAACCCUGCCUGCUCUUUGACUUCUGUGGGAAAGGGAAAGAACACCUUCAGUGAAAGACAGCCCGUGACAUUACUGCCUGUGAAGCAGAGGGGAAGGACCUCCAUGUCAGAUGCAGGCAAAUGCAGGAAGGCAGGGUAGGACCCUCUCCACCACUCCCAUCUGCCUCUAUUCCAGGAAGCUCCUUCUGCUCCUGCCAGCUCCACUGGAGCUGUGUUCCAGUGGGCAAAGAAGGAAACAUCUACCUUUUACUAUUCUACUCACUAUCACAUUAAAUAGACUUGGAGUGCUUCCUGCCAUAUACUCUUCUUGGCAUUGGGGUAGAGAAAAACGGAUGAGUUUCCUGCCCUCAAAAAGUCUGAUAAAUGUUAUGUUACAGAUAUUUCACUACAAUUACAAUGCUUGAUGUAAUAUUCAUACACCUUAAAAAGUUUAUCAGCUACAGCAACACAGACAGUAAGCAAGUAAACAAACAAAAGUGAUCAGUACAGGUCGGGAUUGUUACGAAAGAGAUGGGCAUCCGACGGAUGAUGGUGGGAUGUGAGGGAGCAUUGAGAUGGGAAAUAACUGUACCUGGAAGAGUCCUCAAGCUUUUCUAAGGUGGUGACCUGAGGAAGAAGGCAUCAGUUGUGUGAAGUCAAAAUUGUCCCAGGCGGAGCCAGCUGCAUGUUCAAGGGUACUGAGACAAAAAAGAACGUGGGUCUUCCGGUUCACUGUUUGCAGGGCAGUGCUGGGCUUAUUGUCUUCUACACGGGAAUUCCUGGAAGUUAGCACUGCCGCCUCCUCCGUCUCUCCUACAGUGGUGCCGAGCGCAGUCUCUGGCUAACACAGCCAGCAAUUUGGCUGAUUUACUUGGGGAUUUGACUUCAGAACUCUUUGAACUUAAGGUGAGUUCAGAGAAGUUAAGUGAUUUCCAUGGACCCCUUGAUUCCAGUCUUCAAAGCCAAUGCACCAAUUCAAUAUUUUCCUGUUAUUGCAAGUUUUCUUCUUAUUAUAACUAAACCAGAAGUGUCCUUCGGGAAUUCCAUUUCCUUAGUUAUGAAUAGAAGUGACUUAAUUAUUAUAGAUUCAGCCAGGUGACCUGAGGAUAACAGAAACAAAUUGCUGAACUGGGAAAGCAAGAUUGAAAUGCUGUGGUUCCUCUCUGGGUUAGCACUUACCUCUGGCAUGUCUGAUAUUUGAUUGAUAGUUUCAGCUUCCUUCAGUAUUAUAUAUUUUUAUGUGUGGAUGUCUGUACAGAUGUAUGCAUUUAUAACAUAGUAACAGUAACAUACAAUAAACUACACAUAUACAAGACACCUGUGAACUAGCCUCACACACAAAAAUGAAUAUUCACCAUUUUCCAAAUUUUCUUCCUGCCAUGCUGUAAUCUGUCCUUUUUUUGCUCUUCCUCCUUCCAGAGGAAGCUAUUUAUCCACCUUCAGCCCAAGGAUUAAAUGGCACUUUCUAGCAUUUCAUAUAAAUGGAAAUAUACAGUAUGUACUAUUUUUGUUCUGACUUAGUUCUCUGGACAUAUUAUUAUUUAUUUUGAGAUUCAUUCAUGUUGUCUAUAUUCACAGUUCAUUGCUUUUGUUUCAUUGUGUGGAUAACCCAGUUUGGGUUUAUUAAAAAUAAAGUUGCAUCCAGGUGUGGUGAUGCACACCUGCAACCCAGCACUCUGGGAGGCUGAGUCAGGAGGAUCACAAGUUUAAGCCCAGCCCGGGCAACUUAGUGACUUAGCAAGACCCUGUCUCAAAAUAAAAAUUGGGGGGAUAAAGGCUGGGAAUCUAGCUCAACGCAAUGGCCCUGGCUUCAAUCCGCAGUACCACAAACAAACAACAAACUAAUUAAUCAAUAGAUAAAAUUGCUAUGAACAUUUACACAAAUCUUUGCAUAGUAUAUGCUUUGCUUAUUAUGAGUAAUACCUGGCUGGCUCACAUGAUAAAGAACCACCAUGCUUCCUUUCCAAUGGUAUUAUACCAUUUCAAAUUCUUGUAGUGAUGUAUGAAAGUUCAAGUUACUCUCUGCCACAAUUGGCCACUCUGCCACAAUUUGGUAUGCUCAGUCUUUUUAGUAUUAGCAAUUUUAAUAGGUCUGCAGUUGUAUCAGCAGUGGUUCUUUCAAUGAUUUUUAGUUUUUUGAGACAGGGUCUUGCUAUGUAGUUCAGGCUGGCCUUGAACUCACCCUGUAUCACAGGCUGGCCUCAAACUCACAGCACUCCUCCUGCCUCAGCCUCCUGAGGGCUGGGAUUACAGGCAUGUGCCUCCAUGCUCAAUGAUGUUGGACAUUUUUUCCUGAGCUUAUUUGACAUAGGAUAUCUUCUUCCUAAAAUAUGUUUAAAUAAUUUUCCUGUUCAGAUUAUUGGGUUAUUUGAUUUAUUAUUUUUAAGUUUUAAAGUUCUUUAUAUAUUCUGGACAUGAGUCAGUUGUCAGAUAUAUGAUUUGUAAAUAUUUUUUAUUAAACACUGGUUUGUCUGUUCUUUUGCUAGUAUCUUUUAAAGACCAUGACUGGAUUUUGAUGUCUAGUUUAUAAUGCUCUUCUUUUUCAGAACCUGCAUCAUUUGUCAAACCAAAAAAUCUUUGCCUAAA